GAUGAACGCUAGCGGCAGGCUUAACACAUGCAAGUCGAGGGGUAUAGUAGCAAUACUAGAGACCGGCGCACGGGUGCGUAACGCGUAUGCAAUCUACCUUUUGCAGAGGGAUAGCCCCAGAGAAAUUUGGAUUAAUACCUCAUAGUAUAGCAGUUUCGCAUGAAACCACUAUUAAAGUCACAACGGUGAAAGAUGAGCAUGCGUCCCAUUAGCUAGUUGGUAAGGUAACGGCUUACCAAGGCAACGAUGGGUAGGGGUCCUGAGAGGGAGAUCCCCCACACUGGUACUGAGACACGGACCAGACUCCUACGGGAGGCAGCAGUGAGGAAUAUUGGACAAUGGGCGCAAGCCUGAUCCAGCCAUGCCGCGUGCAGGAUGACGGUCCUAUGGAUUGUAAACUGCUUUUGUACCGGAAUAAACCCCUUUUUACGNGUUAAGAGGCUGAAUGUACGGUAAGAAUAAGGAUCGGCUAAACUCCGUGCCAGCAGCCG
RNAcentral lists this ribosomal RNA (491 nucleotides) under uncultured bacterium. Its description in RNAcentral is "bacterial SSU rRNA". It matches the Rfam family "Bacterial small subunit ribosomal RNA", at positions 28 to 517 of the family's 1533-position model. The record is from RNAcentral.